This 497-nucleotide ribosomal RNA is filed under the name uncultured bacterium. Its description in RNAcentral is "partial 16S ribosomal RNA". It matches the Rfam family "Bacterial small subunit ribosomal RNA", at positions 28 to 507 of the family's 1533-position model. The record is from RNAcentral.
GAUGAACGCUGGCGGCGUGCCUAAUUCAUGCAAGUCGAGCGAACAGACGAGGAGCUUGCUCCUCUGACGUUAGCGGCGGACGGGUGAGUAACACGUGGAUAACCUACCUAUAAGACUGGGAUAACUUCGGGAAACCGGAGCUAAUACCGGAUAAUAUAUUGAACCGCAUGGUUCAAUAGUGAAAGACGGUUUUGCUGUCACUUAUAGAUGGAUCCGCGCCGCAUUAGCUAGUUGGUAAGGUAACGGCUUACCAAGGCGACGAUGCGUAGCCGACCUGAGAGGGUGAUCGGCCACACUGGAACUGAGACACGGUCCAGACUCCUACGGGAGGCAGCAGUAGGGAAUCUUCCGCAAUGGGCGAAAGCCUGACGGAGCAACGCCGCGUGAGUGAUGAAGGUCUUCGGAUCGUAAAACUCUGUUAUUAGGGAAGAACAAAUGUGUAAGUAACUAUGCACGUCUUGACGGUACCUAAUCAGAAAGCCACGGCUAACUACGUG